AGACCCGAAACCCGGUGAUCUAGCCAUGGGCAGGUUGAAGGUUGGGUAACACUAACUGGAGGACCGAACCGACUAAUGUUGAAAAAUUAGCGGAUGACCUGUGGCUGGGGGUGAAAGGCCAAUCAAACCGGGAGAUAGCUGGUUCUCCCCGAAAGCUAUUUAGGUAGCGCCUCGUGAAUUCAUCUCCGGGGGUAGAGCACUGUUUCGGCUAGGGGGCCAUCCCGGCUUACCAACCCGAUGCAAACUGCGAAUACCGGAGAAUGUUAUCACGGGAGACACACGGCGGGUGCUAACGUCCGUCGUGAAGAGGGAAACAACCCAGACCGCCAGCUAAGGUCCCAAAGUCAUAGUUAAGUGGGAAACGAUGUGGGAAGGCCCAGACAGCCAGGAUGUUGGCUUAGAAGCAGCCAUCAUUUAAAGAAAGCGUAAUAGCUCACUGGUCGAGUCGGCCUGCGCGGAAGAUGUAACGGGGCUAAACUAUGCACCGAAGCUGCGGCAGCGACACUAUGUGUUGUUGGGUAGGGGAGCGUUCUGUAAGCCUGUGAAGGUGUGUCGUGAGGCAUGCUGGAGGUAUCAGAAGUGCGAAUGCUGACAUAAGUAACGAUAAAGCGGGUGAAAAGCCCGCUCGCCGGAAGACCAAGGGUUCCUGUCCAACGUUAAUCGGGGCAGGGUGAGUCGACCCCUAAGGCGAGGCCGAAAGGCGUAGUCGAUGGGAAACGGGUUAAUAUUCCCGUACUUGGUGUUACUGCGAAGGGGGGACGGAGAAGGCUAUGUUGGCCGGGCGACGGUUGUCCCGGUUUAAGCGUGUAGGUGUGUGUUCCAGGUAAAUCCGGUUCACUUUAACACUGAGGCGUGAUGACGAGGCACUACGGUGCUGAAGCAACAAAUGCCCUGCUUCCAGGAAAAGCCUCUAAGCAUCAGGUAACAUCAAAUCGUACCCCAAACCGACACAGGUGGUCAGGUAGAGAAUACCAAGGCGCUUGAGAGAACUCGGGUGAAGGAACUAGGCAAAAUGGUGCCGUAACUUCGGGAGAAGGCACGCUGACACGUAGGUGAAGUGAUUUACUCAUGGAGCUGAAGUCAGUCGAAGAUACCAGCUGGCUGCAACUGUUUAUUAAAAACACAGCACUGUGCAAACACGAAAGUGGACGUAUACGGUGUGACGCCUGCCCGGUGCCGGAAGGUUAAUUGAUGGGGUCAGCGCAAGCGAAGCUCCUGAUCGAAGCCCCGGUAAACGGCGGCCGUAACUAUAACGGUCCUAAGGUAGCGAAAUUCCUUGUCGGGUAAGUUCCGACCUGCACGAAUGGCGUAAUGAUGGCCAGGCUGUCUCCACCCGAGACUCAGUGAAAUUGAACUCGCUGUGAAGAUGCAGUGUACCCGCGGCAAGACGGAAAGACCCCGUGAACCUUUACUAUAGCUUGACACUGAACAUUGAGCCUUGAUGUGUAGGAUAGGUGGGAGGCUUUGAAGUGUGGACGCCAGUCUGCAUGGAGCCGACCUUGAAAUACCACCCUUUAAUGUUUGAUGUUCUAACGUGGACCCGUGAUCCGGGUUGCGGACAGUGUCUGGUGGGUAGUUUGACUGGGGCGGUCUCCUCCUAAAGAGUAACGGAGGAGCACGAAGGUUGGCUAAUCCUGGUCGGACAUCAGGAGGUUAGUGCAAUGGCAUAAGCCAGCUUGACUGCGAGCGUGACGGCGCGAGCAGGUGCGAAAGCAGGUCAUAGUGAUCCGGUGGUUCUGAAUGGAAGGGCCAUCGCUCAACGGAUAAAAGGUACUCCGGGGAUAACAGGCUGAUACCGCCCAAGAGUUCAUAUCGACGGCGGUGUUUGGCACCUCGAUGUCGGCUCAUCACAUCCUGGGGCUGAAGUAGGUCCCAAGGGUAUGGCUGUUCGCCAUUUAAAGUGGUACGCGAGCUGGGUUUAGAACGUCGUGAGACAGUUCGGUCCCUAUCUGCCGUGGGCGCUGGAGAACUGAGGGGGGCUGCUCCUAGUACGAGAGGACCGGAGUGGACGCAUCACUGGUGUUCGGGUUGUCAUGCCAAUGGCACUGCCCGGUAGCUAAAUGCGGAAGAGAUAAGUGCUGAAAGCAUCUAAGCACGAAACUUGCCCCGAG
RNAcentral lists this ribosomal RNA (2111 nucleotides) under Salmonella enterica. Its description in RNAcentral is "partial 23S ribosomal RNA". It matches the Rfam family "Bacterial large subunit ribosomal RNA", at positions 711 to 2803 of the family's 2925-position model. RNAcentral also lists the same sequence under 1 other name. The record is from RNAcentral. Lineage: Bacteria; Pseudomonadati; Pseudomonadota; Gammaproteobacteria; Enterobacterales; Enterobacteriaceae.